Otolemur garnettii (small-eared galago) is the source of this 179-nucleotide long non-coding RNA. RefSeq lists it as uncharacterized. The transcript has 3 exons. The record is from RefSeq and is a predicted model, not a curated record. Lineage: Eukaryota; Metazoa; Chordata; Mammalia; Primates; Galagidae.
GGACAACAGGCUGCUGCUUGGCAUCGUCCAGUUCAAAUGCAGUCUUCAGGGAGAUGGAAAUUACACCUAACUGUCGUACAUCAACCUAUGGAAGGUGGACGUCGGUUUGUCUAGAAAAGACAGGACAUCUUGAAGCAGAGGAUUGCAAUUUAGAGAGAUGGGGUCUCGCUCUUGUUCAC